UACAUAGGUCUCAAGCGUUGUUCGGAUUCAUUGGGCGUAAAGGGUGUGUAGGUGGCGCUGUAAGUCGGGUGUGAAAUUUCGGAGCUUAACUCCGAAACUGCAUUCGAUACUGCGGUGCUUGAGGACUGGAGAGGAGACUGGAAUUCAUGGUGUAGCAGUGAAAUGCGUAGAGAUCAUGAGGAAGACCAGUGGCGAAGGCGGGUCUCUGGACAGUUCCUGACACUGAGACACGAAGGCCAGGGGAGCAAACGGG
Molecule: ribosomal RNA, 253 nt
Filed under: uncultured bacterium
Lineage: Bacteria
Description: partial 16S ribosomal RNA
Rfam family: Bacterial small subunit ribosomal RNA
Source: RNAcentral